This is a long non-coding RNA of Ceratitis capitata (Mediterranean fruit fly), 918 nucleotides long. RefSeq lists it as uncharacterized. NCBI's taxonomy places the organism in Eukaryota, Metazoa, Arthropoda, Insecta, Diptera, Tephritidae. The record is from RefSeq and is a predicted model, not a curated record. The transcript is spliced from 3 exons.
AAGAGGCUAGAUUUUAAAACAAAAAAGCGAAAAAACAUCAAAUUAUUUCGUGGCUUUUAAAGUGUUUUAUUAUAGAAAAUAGUACAAUAUAUAUGCUUACAUAUGUAUAUCGAGUUCUGAGCGCGAAAAAUACGUUGCUGCUUUUAUGAAAAUUUUAAUUGAUUAGCUCUCAUAAAGAUAUAAAGCAAUAUAACAUGAAUAGAAAAUUGGUACACAAGAUAUCUUGGGAAUUCGGUGCAAUUUUAUAUUUUAAUUUACUCAGAUCCCCAUGCAUAAGGCAAAUCACAAAAUAAAAUUUCCAAAGACUGAAACAUUCAAGUUUCGUAAAAUAAUGCCGAUUUAAAUUUCUUUUAAAACAUUUUGUAUAUUAUUUUAUAUAAAAAGGAGAGGUUAAAGGCUGCGAUUGUGUAAAAAUUAGCUAAAACUGUUAUUUAAAUUUUCAAAUGUAUGUACGACUGUAAAAAUUUCCAAGUUCAUUAACAAUAAAAGAUACCUAGUUUAUUGAUUAAAUUAAAACGUGUCCAUUACACAUACAUAUGUACAUGUGCAAAAAAGACAAAAAAAACGAUGCAUAAUUAUUUUAAAUAGCGAAGAAAAAGUAGCUUUUGCAAACGAUUUAGUUUUUACACGGGGAAAAUCACUUGGGUAGUGCUCACGUUAAUUAAGAAGAAGAAGAAUUAGAAAUACAAUGAAAAACAAUGUGUUUCAUGACGAGCAAUAACUAUCUACAGUUAAAAAGGGUCACACAACUUUUAAUUACAAUGUCACGAAAAAGUAGAGCCAACGACGGAGUUGCAACAAUGAAAAAAGGCCGAAAAUUGUCAAAACCUGAAUCAAAGUGAUGAAUUGAGUUUGAGUUGGCGUGUUCGUAUAGAAAUGUUCAAAUGUGCGCUGAUGAUUGGCUUAUGCGCUGUGUUG